This 1289-nucleotide ribosomal RNA is filed under the name Triticum aestivum (bread wheat). RNAcentral describes it as "partial small subunit ribosomal RNA". The record is from RNAcentral. Lineage: Eukaryota; Viridiplantae; Streptophyta; Magnoliopsida; Poales; Poaceae.
GCCAAUAGAUGUACUAAGGUGCUACAGCUGCAAGGUUGUCAUUCCCAAUUCAUCUGAUGAUGUCGCGAUACUCCAUGGUUACCAUUCCACACCAGUUAACCUUCUCUGCUCGUGAGCACGAGAAGAGGCAGUGUUAGAUAUCUUUGACCCUGGAUGAACGGAUUGGAAUAACUGUCGUUGGUAGGUGUUUGUUAGCCAAGACUCCAAAACAUGGAGUGUCCCAUGUAGCACCUUCGACGCAGAUUUUUUAACCUUCAUUAAGGUAGACAAAAGGUAGCUCUAUGAUCACGUUUACCAUUUGAAAACCCCAACGCCAGUCACCCUGCAUAUGUUUUUUUUUUUUUGAACUGGAAAGGCCUAGAAAGGCCUAGUACUGCAUUACUAUAGCGGUGCGGCAGUACAUUUUACCUAGGGACCCAUAAGAAACAUAGCAAAGACAACUAAGCCCCUGACUUUUACAAGGAGGACCCCAGAUUGAAAAUAAAAACGCGAUCGGGUCCUUUUCCAGCUUCUGCUCGGAUCCAACGUCGCCGCCGCCGGGGACGAACCACUUGGGGCGUCGAAGUCGCCAUGGCCGCAUCUCCUGCCCACCAUGGCCUCCAAGGAGGAGCUGAAUCUGCCUCCCAUUCGGCACGCAAGCCGGGAGGAAAAAGGUUGGCCGCCCUUUGGCCUGAAGAAGUGAAAGGAAGAUGAAGACCGGCAGCCUGCCGGCGUCGUAGCUCCACCAAAGAGUCCUUCGCUGAUGAGCUCGAACACGAUCUGCAGAGUGCAGCAACCUGCGUCGCCUUCCACCUUCACCUACCACCGCGGCAGCCUGAAGAAGAGAGCGCCGACAGCUAGGCUUCCUCCAGAUCAGGGGAGAGCACGAGCUUGUUCGAGAGGGAAAGCUCGCGCCAGAUCCGCCUCCAGUCGCCUCUGUCCUCCAUGGACAGCAGGUUGAGGAAGCAGCCGGCGACCACCGGGCACGGCUCGCUCGUGCCGGUGGAGAGCAGGAUAACGGCAUGUCGCCAGACGCCGCUGAGGCAAAACACGACCUAGAUCUAGCUAUACUAAUACUACUAUGAACAAGGGGGAGCCAGCCACUUAAUCCAUCUUCCCGCCGGGCAGCAGAGCCGCCGGAGAGAGCGAGGGAAAGGGGCGGCGAUGGGAGACUUUGGAUGACUCUCAAUGUGGCCUGCAUAUGUUUUUCAUUUCUAUCAUUUUCGGGAAAUCAAUCCCAUUCUAAAAGAGAGGUAAAUUCUACUACCACUGUUCCUACAUAUAAGAUAUUUUGGCAGUUUAAAUUAAAC